RNAcentral lists this transfer RNA (64 nucleotides) under Gibbosaverruca weijiai. Its description in RNAcentral is "tRNA-Phe". Lineage: Eukaryota; Metazoa; Arthropoda; Thecostraca; Verrucomorpha; Verrucidae. The record is from RNAcentral.
AUCAAAAUAGCUUAAUAAAAGUAUUGUAUUGAAGUUACAGAGUUGAAUAUAUUUUCUUUUGGUA